GACGAACGCUGGCGGCGUGCUUAACACAUGCAAGUCGAACGAUGAAGCUGGAGCUUGCUCCGGUGGAUUAGUGGCGAACGGGUGAGUAACACGUGAGCAAUCUGCCCUUGACUCUGGGAUAACUGCGGGAAUCUGUAUCUAAUACCGGAUACUUUCACUGGAAGGCAUCUACUGGUCAAUGAAGAAUUUCGGUCAAGGAUGAGCUCGCGGCCUAUCAGCUUGUUGGUGAGGUAACGGCUAACCAAGGCGACGACGGGUGGCCGGCAUGUGGGGGUGACCGGCCACACUGGGACUGAGACACGGCCCAGACUCCUACGGGAGGCAGCAGUGGGGAAUAUUGCACAAUGGGCGCAAGCCUGAUGCAGCAACGCCGCGUGAGGGAUGAAGGCCUUCGGGUUGUAAACCUCUUUUAGCAGGGAAGAAGCGAAAGUGACGGUACCUGCAGAAAAAAGCACCGGCUAACUACGUGCCAGCAGCCGCCGUAA
This 485-nucleotide ribosomal RNA is filed under the name uncultured bacterium. Its description in RNAcentral is "partial 16S ribosomal RNA". It matches the Rfam family "Bacterial small subunit ribosomal RNA", at positions 28 to 523 of the family's 1533-position model. The record is from RNAcentral.